AGUGAACGCUGGCGGUAGGCCUGACACAUGCAAGUCGAACGGCAGCACAGUAAGAGCUUGCUCGUACGGGUGGCGAGUGGCGGACGGGUGAGGAAUAUAUCGGAAUCUACUUUUUCGUGGGGGAUAACGUAGGGAAACUUACGCUAAUACCGCAUACGACCUACGGGUGAAAGCAGGGGAUCUUCGGACCUUGCGCGAUUGAAUGAGCCGAUGUCGGAUUAGCUAGUUGGCGGGGUAAAGGCCCACCAAGGCGACGAUCCGUAGCUGGUCUGAGAGGAUGAUCAGCCACACUGGAACUGAGACACGGUCCAGACUCCUACGGGAGGCAGCAGUGGGGAAUAUUGGACAAUGGGCGCAAGCCUGAUCCAGCCAUACCGCGUGGGUGAAGAAGGCCUUCGGGUUGUAAAGCCCUUUUGUUGGGAAAGAAAAGCAGCAGGUUAAUACCCCGCUGUUCUGACGGUACCCAAAGAAUAAGCACCGGCUAACUUCGUG
This 492-nucleotide ribosomal RNA is filed under the name uncultured bacterium. Its description in RNAcentral is "partial 16S ribosomal RNA". It matches the Rfam family "Bacterial small subunit ribosomal RNA", at positions 29 to 507 of the family's 1533-position model. The record is from RNAcentral.